Molecule: long non-coding RNA, 789 nt
Filed under: Androctonus crassicauda
Lineage: Eukaryota; Metazoa; Arthropoda; Arachnida; Scorpiones; Buthidae
Source: RNAcentral
CCGGGCCCGGCCGUCCAUCCCCGUCCUCCACCAUCCGGCUGACCCCUCCGCGGGGAUGGGCAGCCUGUGGAAGGGCUCGCUUCGCCCCGUCACACAGUAUUCUUCUAGAAUGGAGUGUGGCGUCAUCUGUUAGCAAAAAAAACUUCCAGCCAACGGCCUAUGGUCUUCGAUGUACUAUUCCGUCUGGUGGGAACGGGCCGCGCUAGACGCGUCCUUCGCCUCGAUUAAUUUGUCUUUUAGUUUCCCGUUCGCUAUAUUAUUACGAUCGAAGAACGUUAGCGUAGAUGAGCGACGAGAGAUCAGUGCCUCCGUCUCUUCCGUCCCGGUAACCCAGUCAUUAAUAGUUAGAUUCGAUCUACCCGCUACCCAUCUUACCGCCAGAGAUUUAAUUUCUUUACCACCGAGGAUACGUUAGCCGCCUGGUCCGUUACCGUGGCAGAAACUCCUCCCUCAAAUUCCACCUAUCUAUCGUCCCCGAUGUAUGCGCGGCUACAUUUUCAUCCGUGCCACUUCCUCCGAGUGGCCGUAUAUCCAGGAGUGGCCGGAUAGAUAAUGCGCGGUUAGUACUGUAUAGUUAUCUGGUUUGUUCCAUGUUCGACUAUCCGUGGUCGGAGCCGAGAGGUUGGUAAAGGUGGUCUAGAAGUACCCGAAAGAGAAUAAAAAAAUAGAAACGUAUACCACGAAAUUAAUUUUAAGCUAGGUAACGUUAACCGUAGGAAAAUAGACACCGUUAAGGUUGGUUCUCACUAGCGCGGUAGCGGUAUUUUACAGCAAUAUUUUUCCUCCGCC